RNAcentral lists this ribosomal RNA (496 nucleotides) under uncultured Streptococcus sp. RNAcentral's name for it is "bacterial SSU rRNA". It matches the Rfam family "Bacterial small subunit ribosomal RNA", at positions 28 to 508 of the family's 1533-position model. The record is from RNAcentral. Lineage: Bacteria; Bacillati; Bacillota; Bacilli; Lactobacillales; Streptococcaceae.
GACGAACGCUGGCGGCGUGCCUAAUACAUGCAAGUAGAACGCUGAAGGAGGAGCUUGCUUCUCUGGAUGAGUUGCGAACGGGUGAGUAACGCGUAGGUAACCUGCCUGGUAGCGGGGGGUAACUACUGGAAACGAUAGCUAAUACCGCAUAAUAGUAGAUGUUGCAUGACAUUUGCUUAAAAGGUGCAAUUGCAUCACUACCAGAUGGACCUGCGUUGUAUUAGCUAGUUGGUGGGGUAACGGCUCACCAAGGCGACGAUACAUAGCCGACCUGAGAGGGUGAUCGGCCACACUGGGACUGAGACACGGCCCAGACUCCUACGGGAGGCAGCAGUAGGGAAUCUUCGGCAAUGGACGGAAGUCUGACCGAGCAACGCCGCGUGAGUGAAGAAGGUUUUCGGAUCGUAAAGCUCUGUUGUAAGAGAAGAACGAGUGUGAGAGUGGAAAGUUCACACUGUGACGGUAUCUUACCAGAAAGGGACGGCUAACUACGUGC